Molecule: unclassified non-coding RNA, 19 nt
Filed under: Mus musculus (house mouse)
Lineage: Eukaryota; Metazoa; Chordata; Mammalia; Rodentia; Muridae
Description: oocyte_clustered_small_RNA7082
Source: RNAcentral
UGUUUGCUGAAAGGACUGC